This 426-nucleotide ribosomal RNA is filed under the name uncultured bacterium. RNAcentral's name for it is "bacterial SSU rRNA". It matches the Rfam family "Bacterial small subunit ribosomal RNA", at positions 28 to 451 of the family's 1533-position model. The record is from RNAcentral.
GAUGAACGCUGGCGGCGUGCUUAACACAUGCAAGUCGAACGGGAUCGGCUGGAGCUUGCUCCGGCCGUGAGAGUGGCGAACGGGUGAGUAAUGCGUGACCGACCUGCCCCAUACACCGGAAUAGCUCCUGGAAACGGGUGGUAAUGCCGGAUGCUCCAGUUGACCGCAUGGUCCUCUGGGAAAGCUUUUGCGGUAUGGGAUGGGGUCGCGUCCUAUCAGCUUGAUGGCGGGGUAACGGCCCACCAUGGCUUCGACGGGUAGCCGGCCUGAGAGGGCGACCGGCCACAUUGGGACUGAGAUACGGCCCAGACUCCUACGGGAGGCAGCAGUGGGGAAUAUUGCACAAUGGGCGCAAGCCUGAUGCAGCGACGCCGCGUGCGGGAUGACGGCCUUCGGGUUGUAAACCGCUUUUGACUGGGAGCAAGC